CGAUGGAGGUCUAUAGAAUGGUGGCACUUCGAUUACUUGAACUUGUUGCUUACAACACAAAAAAGUUUGAUGCUUUACUACUGGAACUGUUUUACGACCUUGACUGACUAUACAGCCCUCACACGGUCGGUAUAUGAUUUAGUGAAUCUGGACUACUUAUAUUAAACUUGUUUAGACAUUGAAUAAAUUCGUAAGAAUUCUAGAUUGCAUUGAAUUGAUGGCGUCACAGAUGAGUCUUUUCUAGAUAAAAUGCGUGUCUGGAAUACACAAUUAUCAGCCUGUUAUACACAUCUUUGAGGAUUUUCUUUAGAACUAACGAUUUUGCCAGCAGCUGUAUAUUAAUUUUCUGGUGACUGUGCAACCGUCUGAACUUACUACUUUGGUAGACGAUACAAUAAUAAAUGGUUUAUGUUACAGAAGAAAAAUAAAAGAUUUUGGAAAAGCAAUUAUAAAGAUGAUUACGCUCGUUUUUUGUUUAGUUUUGUUUGUAUUUGAUGUUAAGGGUACGACCAGUAACAUGGUACCCGCGCAAAUGAAGCAUCUAGGACCCCAAGAAGCCUAUUGGAACCUUUUGAAUGCGAUGUAUCAUAAUCCUUACCAUGAUUUUUCUUGGCUUUUAAUGUCUAUUAUGUCUACGGAUGGAGAGGCUAUGGGCAUGGACAUUUAGCUUACAUAUAAUGUUUCUUUUAUGUCUCUUUUUUAUUUACAAUUCAUUUUUCUUCAUUCCAUUCAUUUAUUUUUAUAACAUAUUUUUUUUACCGAUAAUUAUACAAGUUUUAAAGUUAACAAAUAUUUAGCAAUUUUCAUCUCACGCUAAUUUUACAUAUUGUGUAAAUGUAUUGCACAUAAUCAGUUAAAUUAUUGAAGAAAACAAAUCGGAGGCACAAUAUGACAAAAGGGGAAUUAUAAUGACAAACAAAAGAAAGAAAUGGAAUAAAAAAAACUUGCUAAUAACAGAGUUUCAUCAUAACUUUACAUUACAGUACUGGGUAAUUGUACCUAAUAUAUAUGUUAAUGUACCAGCAGGUUUUCAA
Mytilus trossulus (common blue mussel) is the source of this 1034-nucleotide long non-coding RNA. RefSeq lists it as uncharacterized. The transcript is spliced from 5 exons. The record is from RefSeq and is a predicted model, not a curated record. Lineage: Eukaryota; Metazoa; Mollusca; Bivalvia; Mytilida; Mytilidae.